RNAcentral lists this transfer RNA (77 nucleotides) under bacterium. Its description in RNAcentral is "tRNA-Gly". It matches the Rfam family "tRNA". From Rfam's summary of the family: Transfer RNA (tRNA) molecules are approximately 80 nucleotides in length. The record is from RNAcentral. RNAcentral also lists the same sequence under 3 other names.
GCGGGAGUAGCUCAGUUGGCUAGAGCGCCACGUUGCCAACGUGGAGGUCGAGGGUUCGAGCCCCUUUUCCCGCUCCA